CUUAGUGGCGGACGGGUGAGUAACGCGUGGGUAACCUGCCUUAUACAGGGGGAUAACAACCAGAAAUGGUUGCUAAUACCGCAUAAGCGCACAGGACCGCAUGGUCCGGUGUGAAAAACUCCGGUGGUAUAAGAUGGACCCGCGUUGGAUUAGCUAGUUGGCAGGGUAACGGCCUACCAAGGCGACGAUCCAUAGCCGGCCUGAGAGGGUGAACGGCCACAUUGGGACUGAGACACGGCCCAG
RNAcentral lists this ribosomal RNA (243 nucleotides) under uncultured bacterium. Its description in RNAcentral is "partial 16S ribosomal RNA". It matches the Rfam family "Bacterial small subunit ribosomal RNA", at positions 91 to 334 of the family's 1533-position model. The record is from RNAcentral.